UUGGAAAGUGGAAGAGAUUUAGCAACGAAUUGCCAGAAGAACUGACUUUUGUUAGGCUGGUGAGUGAUGGAAAAGGGAAUCUGUAUUUGAUUGGUGGAAUUGGCAGAAAUGGGAUUUCAAAGAUGAUGAAAUUGUGGGAAUUGGGUGAUGGUGGGAAUUGGAUGGAAGCUGAAAGUUUGCCUGAAAUGAUGUGUAGAAAAUUUGUGUCAGUUUGCUACCACAACUAUGAACAUGUGUAUUGCUUUUGGCAUCAAGGGAUGAUCUGUGUUUGCUGCUAUACAUGGCCAGAGAUAUUGUACUACAAGGUAUCAAGGAAGACCUGGCAUUGGCUGCCCAAAUGCCCUUCAUUGACUGAUAAGUGGAGCUGUGGCUUCAAGUGGUUUUCCUUUGUUCCACAGCUGUACGCUUCAGUGUGAUGCACUGGUGUUUUCUGGUCUGGUCUCAUUGUUUGUAUUAGUUGUUUUUGGUAAUCUCCUCCUUUUUU
This 484-nucleotide unclassified non-coding RNA is filed under the name Hevea brasiliensis (rubber tree). Lineage: Eukaryota; Viridiplantae; Streptophyta; Magnoliopsida; Malpighiales; Euphorbiaceae. The record is from RNAcentral.